AAACAUCUAAGUACCUGAAGGAAGAGAAAGAAAUUCGAUUCCGUAAGUAGCGGCGAGCGAACGCGGAUUAGCCCAAACCAAUAAAGUUUUCUUUAUUGGGGUUGCGGACAUAUCAUAACGAAGAGGGAUCGUAAUUGAAGAGGUUUGGAAAGACCCACCACAGAAGGUAAUAGUCCUGUAUGUUAAACGAGAAGACUUUAGAUAUGAUCCAGA
Molecule: ribosomal RNA, 213 nt
Filed under: Clostridioides difficile
Lineage: Bacteria; Bacillati; Bacillota; Clostridia; Peptostreptococcales; Peptostreptococcaceae
Description: partial 23S ribosomal RNA
Rfam family: Bacterial large subunit ribosomal RNA
Source: RNAcentral